Ahaetulla prasina is the source of this 559-nucleotide long non-coding RNA. RefSeq lists it as uncharacterized. The transcript is spliced from 3 exons. NCBI's taxonomy places the organism in Eukaryota, Metazoa, Chordata, Lepidosauria, Squamata, Colubridae. The record is from RefSeq and is a predicted model, not a curated record.
CUUUCCCUGGGAGUCAGGAAACCACGACGCUGACAGAUUUCCACUACGUAGAGGUCAUGUGAUGCAAUUUGUGGCUAGAAGGAUUUUUGGACUUCACACUUUCUGGGUUCUGAGAUGACUCAACAUUUGCCUGUUGGAUAUCUCUUUGACAAGUUUCCACCCAUUCAUUCUUGUCCUGCCGCUGAUGCCUUAGAGAAUACAGCUGGGUGUUUACAGCUUCGUGCUUUCUCCUAGAAGAAAAAAUAAUUGCUACCAACCUGCCUUCCAUUGAGGACCUGUAUACUGCAAGAAUCAAGAAGAGGGCCGUGAAAAUAUUUACAGAUCCCUCACAUCCAGGACAUAAACUGUUUCAACUCCUACCCUCAAAACGACGCUAUAGAGCACUGCACAACAGAACAACUAGACACAAGAACAGUUUUUUCCUGAAGGCCAUUACUCUGCUAAACAAAUAAUUCCUUCAACACUGUCAAACUAUUUACUAAAUCUGCACUACUAUUAAUCUUCUCAUCGUUCCCAUCACCCAUCUCUUUCCACUUAUGACUGUAUGACUGUAACUUUG